Molecule: ribosomal RNA, 707 nt
Filed under: uncultured bacterium
Lineage: Bacteria
Description: bacterial SSU rRNA
Rfam family: Bacterial small subunit ribosomal RNA
Source: RNAcentral
GAGUUUGAUCAUGGCUCAGAACGAACGCUGGCGGCAUGCCUCAUACAUGCAAGUCGAACGAAAUCUUCGGACUUAGUGGCGAACGGGUGCGUAACGCGUGGGAACCUGCCCUUAGGUUCGGAAUAACAGUUAGAAAUGACUGCUAAUGCCGGAUAAUGUCUUCGGACCAAAGAUUUAUCGCCUUUGGAUGGGCCCGCGUAGGAUUAGGUAGUUGGUGAGGUAAAGGCUCACCAAGCCGACGAUCCUUAGCUGGUCUGAGAGGAUGAUCAGCCACACUGGGACUGAGACACGGCCCAGACUCCUACGGGAGGCAGCAGUAGGGAAUAUUGGACAAUGGGCGAAAGCCUGAUCCAGCAAUGCCGCGUGAGUGAUGAAGGCCUUAGGGUUGUAAAGCUCUUUUACCAGGGAUGAUAAUGACAGUACCUGGAGAAUAAGCUCCGGCUAACUCCGUGCCAGCAGCCGCGGUAAUACGGAGGGAGCUAGCGUUGUUCGGAAUUACUGGGCGUAAAGCGCGCGUAGGCGGCUUUUCAAGUCAGGGGUGAAAUCCCGGGGCUCAACCCCGGAACUGCCCUUGAAACUGGAUGGCUAGAAUACUGGAGAGGUGAGUGGAAUUCCGAGUGUAGAGGUGAAAUUCGUAGAUAUUCGGAAGAACACCAGUGGCGAAGGCGACUCACUGGACAGUUAUUGACGCUGAGGUGCGAAAGCGU